RNAcentral lists this long non-coding RNA (3804 nucleotides) under Triticum aestivum (bread wheat). Its description in RNAcentral is "long non-coding RNA (TAES_LNC010599)". The record is from RNAcentral. Lineage: Eukaryota; Viridiplantae; Streptophyta; Magnoliopsida; Poales; Poaceae.
ACUAUGUCAGCCAUAAUAUUUCUAGGUUCAUAUAGAGGCAAGGAUAAGAGCCGUAGUAUGAUUAGAGAGGAAAGAAAAGGCUUCCAUGAAAAUACAAUGUAAUGCAUAUUCAUCAAGAAGUAACAUAAUUAAAAUCACUACAUUAGAUCAUAGUAUGAUGAACCAUUUAUGCCGAGAUACACGCGGAGCAACACAUAGAUGAAAGUCAAAUCUAACAAUAUAGGAAUGAUCAGAUCUCCACCCAAAGCAGGAUUUGGUACAUUUGGUCCCGAAGGAAAUCCCAGAUUAACCAGUGUGGUGUGGUAGAUAGUUGUUUACAUGAACUGACAGAAGUAUACCAAGUAACAAAGUUAGUUAUUUACAGCCAAAGUUCAAUGCCUCCAAACCAAAGCUUAACUCCUAACAGGAAAUGUCUCCAAAUAUUGUGGCCAAACCUUAACUCCUAACAGGAAAUGUCUCCAAAUAUUGUGGCCAAACCUUGGAACCUAAAAAAAUGGAGAGAAAAACGAAAUCAGGAAAUGCAACAGACAGGAAGUCACAUAGGAUAAAACUAUCUCAUUGCACCUGACAUAUACAGUACUGCUAAGAAAUUUCAUUAUCAGUUAUUUUGUAGAUUUUUUAAUAGAAUUAGCUCACUGAUGAGAGCCAACUGAAACUUUGCUGAAAUACAAUUUGAUGUGAUAAACUUUUUUACAAUAGUUAAAGUCGAAUGUGCAUAUAUACUUAAGCAUGUACUGUGUCAAAUAUAUAUCUUCAGAACCGGAGAAUCAGCAUGCAUGUCAUCUGCUAUUUUUCUAAUAAAAAUGUUUCCGUACCAUCCAUCGUCUCAACCUUCUGAAUCCAACUAAUCCAAGCUCGCCAUCGCCAUCAAUGGCACAUCCAGCUCAUGAAAGGAUAAAUAGCAAUAAAACAUUUAUGCACCACUCGUGUGUGUGUGUGUACAUAACAAUGGAAUAGAAAACAAUGAAAAUGUCUCAUUCAUCUGCUUCCUACUGAACCAAAGUGUGCUCCUCCGAGAAACAAUCACCAAAAUAACAUUUAAAAUUAGUAAAGGAUAAUGCUACAAUUUUCAGAUUGUCGGCAGAGAGGUUAGAGCUAUCAUCGUGACAAUGUAUUGCCAGAUAAAUCAACUACUUAAGUGUAAUUAUAUAACUUCUAUUUCAUUACCCCAAAAAAAUAGUAUAGCAAAAAGGCAUGGAUUCAAAAACUUCUCCAAAAUCAUCUACUGGAAAAAUAAAUCAGAAAGACAAUGUCUGUCAUAUAUACACACAGGGGGGUCUAGAAGAAGAAAAAUCGGAUCAUCUGUAGGUGAUAUACCUUUGCAGAAGGACAACCUUAGAGGUACACUAAGUAGACUUCAAAGUGUGUAAACUGAUCUAAUAGGUGAAAGUUUAAUUCAACAAAUAUGGCAAUCACUAACUGCCCUAUAGUCAAGAGAUUGUAUCACUAAGCUGCCCCUUCUAAGCAAUAAUGGUAGCAGUUGCUUGCAGGGUGAGAAAGGUUAACUUUCCGAUAAGCAGACAUUCUUGAUUAUGAUCAAAACAAUAGCCUUGUUAUAUUACCUGGCGAUAUUGGGUGACUGAAACUUAAAGUCCACUAAGAAGUAAACAUCACAGGUUGCAGAACAGGACCAGGCUUGAAUUUCCAAACGUUUAUCAAAUGAUCUAAAAGUCCACUUUGAGACGCUAUCGUCUGCAGCAGAGCAGUAUAGUCAGAAGCAAAAAAACGCAACUAAGCAAUCAUGAAGGGAAAAAGACCAGAGUACUCCAGAGAACUGCCAAUAUUACUAAUUAAUACUGAAGCUAAAGAAGCACCCUCUAGAUUGACUAUAGUCAGAUUAACAAAGUUGAUAAGUAGACUUUCAUCGACUAACAAUAUACAGUAUUUAUUAGAACAAAGAUAAAGAAGUUACCACGCUUGUUAUAGAAGGAUAGAAGUUCUCACAUUACUUGAAAACAAAGAGGCAGAUCUACACUGCUUAUUAUGGUGGUGCAGAAGUGCCAGUUAAUCAGAUAAAAAAAUAUGUAUCAGAACUGUUAUAGCUUUAUAAGACGAAAUUGGAUGACACUUCCUUCAGUAUUUACUGUGCCAAAAUAUUUACUCUGACCUCGAAUGGCACUCACGAAGAAAUCUUGAACUAUGAAACCAUGUGAGCAUGGUCUAUGUUACCGUAAAGGACAAAGAAUAAAAAAUAUACAAAAAGGAAAUGACAUUUGUACAGUAAGGAAAACUAACCAUGAAUAGAUGAACCUUAAGGCACACAAUGGGAAUAAGACAGGAGUUUGUUCAGUAGAUUUACCAUUGGGCAAAAAUGUUAUUAGUAGGCUUAAGACACACGCAUGAGGCAUAACAGAUAAUGAAUGCCAGAACAUGGCAUCAUAAAAAAUGCACAGAAUAGGCCGAGCCCUGACUCAGGUAACAAAGAACAUGGGAUAUAUUAUUCUCCCUCUUUAUGCCAGAUUGUUAGUCCAGCAUCCAGUAUUGCUGCUAGCUUUGGAAAAGUGAACUCAAGAAAACUUUCUGAGUACAAAGCAGAAGAUCUUGCAGCAGCUCCAGUCAACUCUUUCACGUACAAUACUGGGUAGGUACUUUCUCCAGACAUUCGAACUACCAUGCGCCACUAUGAAGUACUCUCUAGUGUGCAUAUAUUUCUUCUCAAGAUAGCCUACUUUGUGGCUAAUUUAUCAGGCCAAAAUAGUGUAGACUGGCCCUAUAUCGGCAAGGUGAUGAUGAUAGCAGUUGUGGUUGCAGACACACAUGAAAGAUAUGUCUUUUUCAAAAUGACAGAACCGAAUUUAGAUGUGCAUGAGAUCAGGCAUACCUCACAUGGAGCAUGGGUGGUCCAUUGAUGUUGGUAGAACGGCGAGAUUGUACGACAGCUUAUGGAAUACGGGCAGCCUGCGGAGUUGGUAGAACGGUGAGACUGUAUAGAGCUAUGUUCGAAACUUGCGGCAUGACGAUGAGCCAAAUAGCUGCAGAUUAUCCCAGAGAGUUAGAACACACACAAAACACAAAAUUAUUUAACCUUGCAAUUAGAAUCCAAAGGGUUCAGUGAUGUCUUUUCCCUUGAUGAUAGAUUCAAAAUAUCUGGAUAUAAAUUGGGCACUAUUUAUUAUUAGAUAUAGAUUGAUUGAUGAGAUUGUAGCAAUAACAACAACAAGCAGUAGCAAGCUACAUCUCUGUUCUCUAUCUAAAUGUGCAUCAAUUAGUAGCAUCAUACAUCUAUCUAAAUGUGCAGCAAUCAGUGUCCCUCCCUCCCUCUCUAUCAUCUCUCUGCUUUCUCUCUCUUCCUCAUCUAUCUCUCUUAUUUUUCUCCACAAGAGCAGAUCAGCAUCGAACUCUGUCUCUCCUCUGUUCUCUACCAGCAGCAACCAGCAGCAGAUCCAGCAAGCCCUCAAUCUAAAUAUGUGGCAAUUAGCGUCUCUCUCUGCUCUUUAUCGCUCAUCUCUCUGCUCUCUCUCUUCCUCACCUAUCUCUAUCUCUCAAGCAGCAGCGGCCAGCAUGCCCUCUGCUCUCUCCCUAAAGCAGAAGCUCAUCCCUUCAAGUGCCUCCCCACCUUCAGCCACGGCGCCGCUGCCGCCGCCCCUGUAUCCACUCAUCGAUGGCGCCAUCUCUCCCUCCCUUAGAUUCUCAAAUUGCUUGGAUGUGAAAGAAAAUGGAGGGAGGGAUGAACCUGCGCUGGUCGCUGACGCCAGGACAGCACCUCCUUCGCGUCGCCCGUCAAACCACUGCCCCGGCCCCGACGCCGUGCUACCGCUCCCGCGCCCCGGCGAGGCGGCCUCCAUCCUUCCAAGCAAGCACGCC